UAACUCUGAAGGAAGCUCAAGGAAUCGGGACAACCGGAAGAUAUUAAAAAGUCCCCGUUUCCUCGCAGACUUCUUUAUAGGGAACUAAAAUACAUAAAUGAUGGCGUUUGUGGAAACCACAUCGGAUGACCGCUACUUUCAUUCUCUGAUCAAAGCUGGGGGACAGAUUCGCAGAAGCUCUGCAGAAAGGCACCAUUUUUUUCUGGGCGUUAAUGUUAACUGAAAAAACACCUGAACAGGCACGAAUAGGGAUGCGAGAGAUCUGACACAUGGGUAACGAAACGUCGCCGGUCGGACACGCAUGCAGUCUGCAAAGCCCAAGAAGAAGUUAUCCGACAAGGCGAGGCUCCUAGCUCCUCGGGAGUCCGCUCGGCCGGUAGCUGCUGCCAGGAUAACAUAACACUUACACACUGCAAGUAUCAAUCACGAUGUCAGGUAUGCAGUAAGCCAACCGAUCGGCGACUUACUCAUUUCGUACGACAUGCUGACAGGCGCCGCAAUAAGCUCUUCGUACGGAUGAAUAGUCAGUAGAGCCUCCGUGCUCAGACUCCCUGCUCGAAUUCCUGCACCACCGACUCGGCCCGGACUCGCCCAGCAGCACCAACGCGGAAGAAAGUGUCGCGCGCCGCGCCUUUACCCAUAUAUGGUAAAGUCGGCCGCGGCGCGCGCGCCUGACACGAUCUCUCAGGAAGUGACGUCUUCCUCGCGGCCUAGAACUGGGAAGCUAUGAAUGGGGGACUGUUUCUUUUUUAUUAUUCUUCUUUUUAUUAUUUAUUCUUCUUAUUAUGUUCACCGCAUUGUACUUAUAAAAACGUUGUAACCAUCACAAGAUUACAUUUUAUAACACGUUCUGUCUGCAAUUACUCAGGUCUAUGGAAAACAAAAGGGUAAUGCACUGCAAUUAGCAGCGAUGCCUAAAGCAGACGCAUCCACAAUUCUUUUUUACAUUUACCAUAUGUCCAUGACAUUCGCUGUAAGAGUCAAGUUAAAUGCCUUUAUUAAUGCUUUCAGUCCUUUAGAAUAUGCGUGCUCUUAAAAAGUACAUAAUCAGAAAUGUCUCUAAAAUGUUUAUGGAAAUUUUCAAACAAGUAUAGGUUGCUCAAUUCAAUAACAUUACAUAUGAAUCUGACUGUUGCAGGAGAAUAACACUUCAUUAAAACUGCUGUCAACUACAUUUUGAACUAUUUAUAGAAAUCACUGCAGAUAUGUAGCCUAACUAAAGAAAAGUGUAAUAGUAUGCUACUAAUGAACCACAAUACAGGGAUUUUCACUAAUGUAAGAACAUUAUACAAAAGAAUUGCCUUACAAUGGGUGCCAUGAAGUCUCAGUGAGUAGCAUAUACCUCUACAGUUGAAUCUUAACUCUGCAUGUAAUGUGAGCAUGUUCCCCAUGCUGUGUGCCGUUCUUCUUGGUACUCCAGUUUCCUACUGCAGUCCAACAACUUGCAGUUAGAUUAAAUGGCACCUAUAAAUUA
Long non-coding RNA from Brienomyrus brachyistius, 1474 nucleotides. RefSeq lists it as uncharacterized. The transcript has 2 exons. The record is from RefSeq and is a predicted model, not a curated record. NCBI's taxonomy places the organism in Eukaryota, Metazoa, Chordata, Actinopteri, Osteoglossiformes, Mormyridae.